AGAAAUUUAAGUUAACUAAACUAAAAGCCUUCAAAGCUUUAAAUAGAAGUUAAAAUCUUCUAAUUUCUG
Callorhinchus milii (elephant shark) is the source of this 69-nucleotide non-coding RNA. Lineage: Eukaryota; Metazoa; Chordata; Chondrichthyes; Chimaeriformes; Callorhinchidae. The record is from Ensembl.